RNAcentral lists this ribosomal RNA (497 nucleotides) under uncultured Lachnospiraceae bacterium. RNAcentral describes it as "bacterial SSU rRNA". It matches the Rfam family "Bacterial small subunit ribosomal RNA", at positions 11 to 507 of the family's 1533-position model. Lineage: Bacteria; Bacillati; Bacillota; Clostridia; Lachnospirales; Lachnospiraceae. The record is from RNAcentral.
UUUAGAUCCUGGCUCAGGAUGAACGCUGGCGGCAUGCCUAACACAUGCAAGUCGAACGGGGUUUAUAUAACAGAACUCUCCGGAGGGAAGAUAUAUAAACCUAGUGGCGGACGGGUGAGUAACGCGUGGGCAACCUGCCCUGUACCGGGGGACAACAGCCAGAAAUGGCUGCUAAUACCGCAUAAGCCUGCGGUGCCGCAUGGCACAGCAGGGAAAACCACGGUGGUACAGGAUGGGCCCGCGUCUGAUUAGUUAGUUGGCAGGGUAACGGCCUACCAAGACGAUGAUCAGUAGCCGGCUUGAGAGAGUGGACGGCCACAUUGGGACUGAGACACGGCCCAGACUCCUGCGGGAGGCAGCAGUGGGGAAUAUUGCACAAUGGGGGGAACCCUGAUGCAGCAAUGCCGCGUGGGUGAAGAAGCACUCCGGUGCGUAAAGCCCUGUCAGCAGGGAAGAAAAUGACAGUACCUGACCAAGAAGCCCCGGCUAACUACGUG